Molecule: ribosomal RNA, 292 nt
Filed under: uncultured bacterium
Lineage: Bacteria
Description: partial 16S ribosomal RNA
Rfam family: Bacterial small subunit ribosomal RNA
Source: RNAcentral
GUGCCAGCCGCCGCGGUAAUACAGAGGGUGCGAGCGUUGUCCGGAAUUACUGGGCGUAAAGGGCGCGUAGGCGGCUUGGUAAGUCGGGGGUGAAAGUCAGCGGCUCAACCGCUGGACUGCCUUCGAGACUGCCUGGCUUGAGCAUGGUAGAGGCUGGCGGAAUUCCCGGUGUAGCGGUGGAAUGCGUAGAGAUCGGGAAGAACAUCGGUGGCGAAGGCGGCCAGCUGGGCCAUUGCUGACGCUGAGGCGCGACAGCGUGGGGAGCAAACAGGAUUAGAAACCCCAGUAGUCC